CAGUAGCCACGGUAAUACGUAGGGUGCGAGCGUUAAUCGGAAUUACUGGGCGUAAAGCGUGCGCAGGCGGUUGUGUAAGACAGGUGUGAAAUCCCCGGGCUUAACCUGGGAACUGCGCUUGUGACUGCACAGCUAGAGUAUGGCAGAGGGGGGUGGAAUUCCACGUGUAGCAGUGAAAUGCGUAGAGAUGUGGAGGAACACCGAUGGCGAAGGCAGCCCCCUGGGCCAAUACUGACGCUCAUGCACGAAAACGUGGGGAGCAAACAGGAUUAGAUACCCGAGUAGUCCCUGUCUCUUAUAC
Molecule: ribosomal RNA, 301 nt
Filed under: uncultured bacterium
Lineage: Bacteria
Description: partial 16S ribosomal RNA
Rfam family: Bacterial small subunit ribosomal RNA
Source: RNAcentral